Molecule: long non-coding RNA, 444 nt
Filed under: Malus domestica (apple)
Lineage: Eukaryota; Viridiplantae; Streptophyta; Magnoliopsida; Rosales; Rosaceae
Description: long non-coding RNA (MDOM_LNC005340)
Source: RNAcentral
UACAAAAAGGAAGAUUUAAACAUGAGAGCUCAAGUGCAUAAGCGUAUGCUCUUAAGUCACCAAUUGAGCUACAAGGCACGUGCAACCUGCAACAUCUAAUUCACUUUUAAAAUUGAAAUGGUUGAUGUGUGGGAUUAAAUUAUUCUAUCAACUUCAAAAUUGCCCCCAUUCCAUGAUGCCACUUGUUUUUCUUAUAAAUAACACAACACAUGGAAUGCAUAUUGAACAUUGGUGAGAAGUAAGAUUAAAAUCAUAUCAAAGAUCGAUCCGCGCCAGCAAAUACAUGCGCUACGGCUACAUGCAUCAAGAAGUGAACAAUUAUAACUUGCGUGAACAGCCCGAAGAGAGCAAACGUUAGACAGAAGUUACUCUGCAUGCGAGUAUAGAAUGCUGUUGCAGUUUGGAAAGCACCGAGGACUACCAAAGAACAGUACUAUACACAUC